UCUCUGGUGGACUAGUGGUUAGCAUGCGGUGCUCUCAUUACUGUAGUCCGGGUUCGAUUCCUGGACAGAGAA
Non-coding RNA from Pangasius djambal, 72 nucleotides. NCBI's taxonomy places the organism in Eukaryota, Metazoa, Chordata, Actinopteri, Siluriformes, Pangasiidae. The record is from the annotation of a GenBank genome assembly.